RNAcentral lists this ribosomal RNA (433 nucleotides) under uncultured bacterium. RNAcentral's name for it is "partial 16S ribosomal RNA". It matches the Rfam family "Bacterial small subunit ribosomal RNA", at positions 29 to 507 of the family's 1533-position model. The record is from RNAcentral.
AACGAACGCUGGCGGCAUGCCUACCACAUGCAAGUCGAACGAGACCUUCGGGUCUAGUGCCGCACGGCUGCGUAACGCGUGGGAACCUGCCCUUAGGUUCGGAAUCACUCCCCGAAAGGGGUGCCAAUCCCGGAUAAUGUCUUCGGCCCAAAGCUUUAUCGCCCUUGGAUGGGUCCGCGUAGGAUUAGCUAGUUGGUAGGGUAAAAGCCUACCAAGGCGACGAUCCAUAGCGGGUCUGAGAGGAUGAGCAGCCACACUGGGACUGACACACGGCCCAGACUCCUACGUGAGGCAGCAGUGGGGAAUAUUGGACAAUGGGCGAGAGCCUGAUCCAGCAAUGCCGCGUGAGUGAUGAAGGCCUUAGGGUGGUAAAGCUCUUUUACCCGGGAUGAUAAUGACAGUACCGGGAGAAUAAGCACCGGCUAGCUCCGUG